Non-coding RNA from Poecilia reticulata (guppy), 2302 nucleotides. Lineage: Eukaryota; Metazoa; Chordata; Actinopteri; Cyprinodontiformes; Poeciliidae. The record is from RefSeq and is a predicted model, not a curated record.
AUUUCUGUUUCUCCACACUAAGCUCAGUUAAGAUAAAUAAAAAGGGCUCAACCCCUUUAAUCCUAAAGCCGAGACAUUUAUGAUGUUCAAGCUCUGAAAAUAUGCUUUGUUGACUAAUAACACUAAUUAACACCCAUUUUCACUCUGUUCUCUUCAUACUUCAGAAGCCAAGUGCUUUAAUUUGUAUGAGUCCUGUUUCAUCUCCCUCCUCCAUGCUUUUUCCAUGUGCUGGCAAAAUGCUUUGAAGAUUUCCAAUGCCUGACAUUUAAAAUCCAGAAAGUCGAGCUGAGGAAACUUCUCAUCUGUGCUAUGUUUAGACUCUCUCCUGCAUUAGCUCACACAGCCGGCGCAUUGUUAAAAGCAGGAAAAAGAGAAGAAAAAGAUGCUCCUGUCUCCGCGACCCUCCCUCAACUCAGACGUGUGCGUUAUCUUCUCCGUUUCCCCUCAGAGUGUCUCUCUGUCCCAACAUUCAUUAAACCCGCAGGACCUCCAGGUGGAGGGAGGCUGCGCCGUCCGACCGCCUCCUUGUCAUCAUUUCUCGGCGACGGCUCGUUUCUCCAUCUCUGAGCCUGCACAGGUGAGCCUGUUCCCAGCGGCGUCGGCGAUGAGCUGCAGCCCCCUCUGCUCGGUACAUGGGGGUCCUAAUUAGGCCUGAGAGCUGGAGGAAAGCAAUCCCCGAGAACAAGCAGCACCGGGGCUCUGAUUAGGCUCUGCUACUGGACGGCUCUCCAGAGAUUGCUUGCAGAGUAAUCCACUCACUUUGUGGACGGAUCCAAUCUCCCGGGGCAGCUUGUCUCAGAUUGGAUGUCAGCCGCGGGAGACAGAUGCACUCGUCACAACUUUUAUGAAUGCAUCACCUUUUAUGUUCGUAUAAACAUUAAUUUUUCUCGCUUGUGCAAUAAAACAGGACAGGCCUUCGUUCACCGAUUCCCCAAGAAAAUUGGAGCUUCUAGGAUCUUUGCAAGAUAAAUACCUGCAACCUCAAGCCUCAUCUUCAGUGGAGUAUAUUUUCCCAGGAUUAUUUGGGCAUGCUUUUAUUUAUUUAUUUACUUAUUCUGAGCAAAUAUGGCUUGUGAAAAAUAUCAAAGUGUGUUAUUUGCCUCCACCAAACUCCACAACAUCAAAGACUCCCCCUCCGGUCCCACAAGAACCAAAGAACCUCGGGUUUUUUUUUUUUUUUACCCGCGCGGCUUCAUCUGUCUUCCAUCUCAGCUUUGCUCGAGCUCAAAAGGCAAAAGCCUCUAAUGAUACGAGCUGCAAGAUGGAGAGGCUGCUGCCAACAAAACAGGAAGGGAAGGGAGAAAAAGAAAGAUGAGCAACCAAACAGACACAUUUUGGGUGAUGAUUGACAUCGCCGCGUCUCUUUAUUAUUCCUGUGAUGUUCGUCCAGACUCGCUGUUCGCCCAGAAACCGUGGCCUCACACUUUGGCUGAUGCAGCAAUCUGGUGUUGAGCGCCUCUCUGCCUGCCAACCACCUGGCUGGAAGACGCAUAAUCAGCCUCCCAGUCAAUCACUCCUCACACGGCCGAUGGCGUAGGACGGGUGUCGGAGGAAGUACGGCAGACACGCGCGGGCUGCGUGGCCGACUCUGACACCUUACACCUUGCUCCCCCUGCAUUCCUGAUCAGCCUCCGUUGUUCCAGCAGCGCGCCCAUUUGCAUUAUGCAGGAGAGACGGGAGAGAAGCAACAUGGCAGCUGGGUCUGAGAUUUCGCGCUUGUUUUAGUGAGAAUCUCCUCUCCUGCGAAUUGAUUCAUUAAUAUAAAACCUGUGAGAUGUUAGCGAGGAGUUACUAUGGUGAUUAUUAUUCAUUUAUGGCAGGAUUUGCUUCCAUACCUGACCUGAACAGGCCUCUCUCUGUGAGAUCUGGUUGUUUCCAAGACGCCAUUUGGAGUUACGUAACCCAGCCAUGGAUGUCCUACAUGCCUCGUCAUGUAUAUUGCAGGAACCUAAAAAGCAAGCUCUCCACUUCACUGCACUGAGGGGAUACUAGAUUUUUCAUCUCUGAUUGAAAGGAACCAAAGGACUCCAUCACCGUGCUCCAGAGGAGAGAAAUAAUUGACGGACUCGAUCGUCCCAACGAGAGAAUUGUUUUCUGACUUACCAGGAAAAAAAAAACAACUUCUUACACUGAGAAUCCAUUUAAUUACACACAGAAAGUUAAAUAUUUAUGCUAUUAUAAUGAAUUAAUAAGGUGAUUUAAAUAAAAAAGAGGCCUGGUCAGUUUACUUGAUUCACAAAGACUGAAUCAAGUUUUGCAGUGUUUGUGGUUCAAUAAAGAUGCCUGCUGAUGAAGAGAUAAA